RNAcentral lists this long non-coding RNA (618 nucleotides) under Sus scrofa (pig). Its description in RNAcentral is "lncRNA (ENSSSCG00005011733.1)". Lineage: Eukaryota; Metazoa; Chordata; Mammalia; Artiodactyla; Suidae. The record is from RNAcentral.
CCCCCCGGCAGUGGCGGGCAGCAGCUGCCGGGACGGUGCCAGACCCCUGGAUAGCACUUUAUGGGCGGCUGCCGUCCCGGAGCUGUCGCCAGCCUUGCCCUCUGGCCGGCUCAUGAGCAGGGGCAAUACUCCCUGGGUGGAAGGGGCAACCCGAGCGUCCUGGGGAAGCUCAGAGCCAAACAAGCACCAAGGGCUGGUGGCUUCGCAGGCGGGAGGGCUGGCGUGGCUCUGCCCGGGACCUGAGGGCGCUAGUAGCGUGUCCAAGACACUGUCCAGCAGCCCGGUGUCUUUUUCCGAGGGUCUAGAGCUGCCACCUCCAGCACCCUCUGUAGCUUCAACUCUGGGAUACGCCCCCUCCACGUCUGACAGCGACUGCUGGUCCUGCGUCUUCCCGUCUGGUUCCUGUCCCUGGCAGGGCCCAGGGAAGAGUAGCCCGUCCAGGGAGAGGGGUAUGGCCGAGGCUGCGGGCGACGCUUCCGAGGUCCUCUAUGCCAGGUAUGGGGAAUACAGUGGAAGACUUGGUCCAAGAUGCCAGGAUGGGCAGUCACCAGAGGAAAGAAGUGUUCGCAAUGGAAGACACUGGUAAAAAGACUUGUAAUGACCAGUCUUAUUAAUUAG